This 1554-nucleotide ribosomal RNA is filed under the name metagenome. RNAcentral describes it as "SSU rRNA". It matches the Rfam family "Eukaryotic small subunit ribosomal RNA", at positions 322 to 1823 of the family's 1831-position model. The record is from RNAcentral.
CCAAUCGUAGUGUAGGGGACUACGAUGGUUGUAACGGGUACGGGGAAUUAGGGUUCGAUUCCGGAGAGUUAGCCUUAAAAAUAGCUAACAUUACCAAGGUAAGCAGCAGGCGCGUAAAUUAUCCAAUCCCAAUUCGGGGAGAUAGUGACAAGAAAUAUCGGUGUGGAGCCCUACGGGUUUCACGAUCGAAAUGAGUACAAUUUAAAAACCUUAACGAGGAACAAUUGGAGGGCAAGUCUGGUGCCAGCAGCCGCGGUAAUUCCAGCUCCAGUAGCGUAUAUUCAAGUUGUUGCGGUUAAAAAGCUCGUAGUUGGCUCUCGAGUUGGGGAGCGUCAGUCCCCUCCAUCUUUAUCGGUGGGGGGAUCAAGGCUGAGCAUCUCCUUCUCAUCAUCUGUGUCGUAAAACAGCUGGGCUUGCUCAGUUGGACUACAGGAAUUUACUUUGAAUAAAUUAGGGUGUUCAAAGCAGACGAAAUCGUCUUGAAUACAUUAGCAUGGGAUAAUAAAAUACGACUUUGGUCCAGUUUACUGGUUUCUAAGGCCGAGGUAAUGAUUAAUAGGGACAGUUGGGGUCGCUCGUACUCAGUGGUCAGAGGUGAAAUUCUAGGACCCACUGAAGACGAACAAGUGCGAAGGCAUUCGACAAGGAUGUUUUCAUUAAUCAAGAACGAAAGUUAUGGGAUCGAAGAUGAUCAGAUACCGUCGUAGUCAUAACCGUAAACUAUGUUGACUCGGGAUCUGUAGAAGUUACAUGGAUGACUCUACAGGCACCGUGUGUGAAAACAAAGUAUUCGAACUCCGGGGGGAGUAUGGUCGCAAGGCUGAAACUUAAAGGAAUUGACGGAAGGGCACCACCAGGAGUGGAAUAUGCGGCUUAAUUUGACCCAACACGGGGAAACUUACCCAGUCCGGACGCGAUGAGGAUUGACAGAUUGAUCGUUCUUUCUUGAUUUUGUGGGAGCCGGUGCAUGGCCGUUUUUAGUUGGUGGAGUGAUUUGUCUGGUUAAGUCCGAUAACGAACGAGACCUAAUUCUGCUAAAUAGUAAUGUGAACAAGGGAGUUGCUGGUGGGGUUGGGCUUGCCCGGCUUCGUCAGGGCUUCCACUCAUUUGUUGGCAUCGUUUAUACUUCUUAGAGAGACCCUUGGUGUUUCAUGCAGCCAAUGGAAGUUUUAGGCAAAAACAGGUCUGUGAUGCCGCUAGAUGUCUGGGGCUGCACGCGCGUUACACUGAUGUGUGCAACAAGUAUUAGAAAAAACCUAACCCGAAGGGGUCUGGGCAACCUCCAAACGCACAUCGUGAUGGGGAUUGUGCUUUGUAACUAUCGCACAUGAACGAGGAAUUCCUAGUAAGGGUAAGUCAUCAGCUUGCCCUGAUUACGUCCCUGCCCUUUGUACACACCGCCCGUCGCUUCUACCGAUCGAACUACUCGAUGAGGACUCGGGACAUGGGCUCCAAUCUGUUCUGCAGUGCGGAGUAUUGUGAAACCUGUUCGAAUCUCGCAGUUUAGAGGAAGAAGAAGUCGUAACAAGGUCUCUGUAGGUGAACCUGCAGAGG